Molecule: long non-coding RNA, 340 nt
Organism: Glossina fuscipes
Lineage: Eukaryota; Metazoa; Arthropoda; Insecta; Diptera; Glossinidae
Exons: 2
Source: RefSeq, a predicted model, not a curated record
UAUAUAUAUAUAUAAGUGGUUACGUUUGUAUGUGCAUCAGUGUGUCUGCGUUUGUAUGCUUCUGUAUUUGUGUGUGUGUGUGCGUAUUGUAUUUGUAUGCGAGCCUAAAAUUUGUACUAUUGUAUAGUAAUUACUAUAGAGUCUUCGGCCGUUUAUAUUGUGCUUCAACAUCUAUACCAAGAGUGCUGUUAAAACGUUAGAGUCGAGUGAAGUAAAGGCAUGUAAACGCUAUUUUGGCGAUAUUUAGCCAAACUAAAAAAAAGCGCAAUUCACUUACAAUUCUAAUUGCUGAAUGAAAUGAAAAAAAUUCUACCAUAUAUUUUUUCUUAAAAAAAAAAAA